CGCCUGCACGCGCGAGGCAGGGGGUACCGUGUUUUGGGGACCCAUCCACAUUUUGUUUCGCGCCCCGUAGCCCGGGCACCCAAAGCGGGCGACAAGCGCGAGUCUCAGCCCAGCCCGCCCCCGCUGCCCUGGCACCUAGGCGGCUGCCGGAGCGCGCUCGGCGGCUGCGCUCCGAGGCCCCGGCUGCCAUGAUUGCGGGCAGCGGGGCGCGCGCGCGCGCACUCCGGAGCCGAGCUUGGGGACCCCGGGCCGACAGACUGCCCCUGGCCUGACCGCAGCCCCGUGAGCGCCGCGGACAGCAGCCGAAGUCGCCGGGCUCGUCUUUGCUGGGGCUAGUGUGCGCCAUGGAGCUCUGGACGAGGCUCCGGCACAGAGCUCGGGGUCGUCGGUGGCGGCGGGUUUCCCCCGGGGCAGGGCGCGUGCCACGGCGACCCUGUGGAGGCUUCCCGGACACCGCGGGCCGGGCGGAUCGAGGGGCGAGACGCCCAGUGUGGUAGGGGACGGGGUGCACGGAAUCUGGUGAAGUGGAGGAGAGCAGCGUCCUGUACCCAGAGAUGGAGGGGAAACAACUUCCUGCUCCCCAGGCCCAGGGCGCAGGAGCUGCGGGGAGAAGUUAUAGGCCGCAGCUUUGCUCUUUCGGAGCCAGCCGACUACACCGCUGGCCCGGGUCGCGCGGCUCCUUCCCGCGCGCCUUCUGGGGGUCGCGACUGGCCAGGCUCCAGGGUCAGGACAGCGGUUAGAACGCCCGGGAAGCCGCAGGAGAUUUUCCUGCCUGCUCUGCAGGGACGCCUGAGUGGCCUCCCCGCAGAGGGGCCGGGCUAGGCUUCCGGUGCUAGGAGACAUCGACACCGGGUCACUAUGCCUGGACCCUGUCCCCCUGCCAGGGCAUGCCCUAGCCGAGAGCCAGAUGGGCCUGGCUGUCCUCGGACGCCCGCGACGGGUGCCGGAGAGAAACGAGGCCUCCUGGGCCCUUUCCCAAUGUCUGUCUGUGCCUGUCUCCCCCCACACCCCCAGCCGGCCUUGGCAUUCUAACCAGUGUCCCUUGACGUCACAUCUCGCCACUUCUGUGAACCAAUUGAAACUUGCCCGUUGUCAUAAAAAUAUAUAUACUUUUUAUGCUAUUGGUAAAUUCAAAA
Molecule: long non-coding RNA, 1136 nt
Organism: Phyllostomus discolor (pale spear-nosed bat)
Lineage: Eukaryota; Metazoa; Chordata; Mammalia; Chiroptera; Phyllostomidae
Exons: 2
Source: RefSeq, a predicted model, not a curated record